GACGAACGCUGGCGGCGUGCCUAAUACAUGCAAGUCGAACGCAGUGGGGACGGGUGAGUAACACGUGGGUAACCUCCCAUCAGAGGGGAUAACACUUGGAAACAGGUGCUAAACCGAUACUGAUGGAUGGACCCGCGGUGCAUUAGCUAGUUGGUGAGGUAACGGCUCACCAAGGCCACGAUGCAUAGCCGGACGUGGAAGGUGAACGGGCAACCUGGGACUGGAGCAAGGGCCAGGCUCCUACGGGAGGCCGCAGUGGGGAAUCUUCGGACAUGGACGGAAGUCUGACCGAGCAACGGCGCGUGGGUGGAGAAAGUUUUCGGAUUGUAAAGCUCUGUUGUUAGGGGAGCGGUAACUAACCAGAAAGGGACGGCUAACUACGUGCCAGCAGCCGCGGUAAUAC
This 403-nucleotide ribosomal RNA is filed under the name uncultured bacterium. RNAcentral's name for it is "partial 16S ribosomal RNA". It matches the Rfam family "Bacterial small subunit ribosomal RNA", at positions 28 to 526 of the family's 1533-position model. The record is from RNAcentral.